UCCGGCGAAAAACUCAAUGGGCUUUCA
This 27-nucleotide small RNA is filed under the name Bombyx mori (domestic silkworm). Its description in RNAcentral is "ovarian small RNA-27552". The record is from RNAcentral. Lineage: Eukaryota; Metazoa; Arthropoda; Insecta; Lepidoptera; Bombycidae.